ACGAACGUUGGCGGCGUGCUUAAUACAUGCAAGUCAACUGAAGCACCGGUAGCAAUACUGGUGUGGAGGUGGCGCACGGGUGAGUAACACGUAGGUAAUCUGCCUUCAGGUCUGACAUAACCCCGGGAAACCGGGGCUAAUAUCAGAUGAUGCAGCGGCUUGACAUCAAGACAGUUGUUAAAGCUUCGGUGCCUGAAGAUGAGCCUGCGUCUGAUUAGCUAGUUGGCGGAGUAAUGGCCCACCAAGGCUACGAUCAGUAGCUGGUCUGAGAGGAUGAUCAGCCACACUGGAACUGAGACACGGUCCAGACUCCUACGGGAGGCAGCAGUAAGGAAUAUUGCUCAAUGGGAGAAAUCCUGAAGCAGCAACGCCGCGUGAGGGAUGAAGGGCUUUUGCUCGUAAACCUCUGUAGUGAGGGAAAAAACUUCCACUCUGUGGAAUAUGAUGGUACCUCAAAAGUAAGCCCCGGCUAACUACGU
This 479-nucleotide ribosomal RNA is filed under the name uncultured bacterium. RNAcentral describes it as "bacterial SSU rRNA". It matches the Rfam family "Bacterial small subunit ribosomal RNA", at positions 29 to 506 of the family's 1533-position model. The record is from RNAcentral.